Molecule: long non-coding RNA, 1900 nt
Organism: Strongylocentrotus purpuratus (purple sea urchin)
Lineage: Eukaryota; Metazoa; Echinodermata; Echinoidea; Camarodonta; Strongylocentrotidae
Exons: 4
Source: RefSeq, a predicted model, not a curated record
AGCGGGAAGUUCAACUAAUGAGUAACGAUAUCCUCAUCAAAUCAUCCGAAGUCAUUGAGAUAUAGGCCUAUAGUUUUCCCCAAGAGAAGCGAUUGAUUAUAUGUGAUUAAUGUGUUCCAGUACUGCAGUAGAUUCUAAUGAUAUUCCCGUGAACCGAUCGCGAGCAAGCAAGAAACCAGCCAGAUACAGCGAUGAAAAUUUGAAGAAUAUGCACUCGUCAUGUUCACAGUCACACUGGAUAAGGUGAAGAGCUAGUGUAGAGGUUGGUUUUGAGCAUCAAAAUUUGGACGGUGGCCGGAGGAUGAGGAUCGAUGGAUGGGAGGCCUACGAUGAGGCUAACAAGAAGUGGUAGCUUGGCCUAAGCUUGAAAUGACCCAAUAUGCACUCUUCGUGUUCAGUCACACUGGAUAAUGUGAAGAGGGUGGUUUUGAGCAGCGAGGUUCGGCAGGUGGCAGGAGGAUGAAGAUCGAUGGAUAGGAGGUGUACGAUGAGGCUACAAAGAAGUGGUACUCUGUUGCCUUGCUUGAAAGGACCCCAAUUCUUUGCGAGAAGAUCGAAGGGGGCCGGACACAAAUCAGCUGAAUUGGCAGGCCCUGAGAGUAAAGAUGGAGGGAAUCAAAUAUAAGGCUAAAAACAUGUUAAUCUUCUUCAGAACGCACAAAGUAGAUUACGACCAAACUUGGCAGGAGUCAUCCCUUAAAAGUAAGGGGAUCUUAAUUUGUUCAAGUGGGGGGUGGUGCACCAGGGGGGGGGGGGGAGGGCAGGAAAACAAAAAAAGCCAAAUCAACAUCAUUGUCUUCAUGAAAAAGCAUAAUUGGUAGAUUAUUGUGUGGGAAGGGUAUCUCAAUUUACAGAAAAAAUGAUCAAAGUGCCCAGCUUGCAAAGCUGCAUGCUCAGGUAAGCACAAGACCCACAGGUCUCUAGUCUAUUACUCUUUUGCUUUUCAUCUUUAAGUGUUUGUGUAUUGGAGGGGGGGGGUAAAGUAUAGUGUCCAUCAAUGUUAUAUAUUGUUUUUUGAUUAUCAACUGCCAAACAAUAGCUGCCUUCUGCAUCAGUGUGUUAAUAGGUGUACUUUUCAUAUAUUUAAUUAUAUUCAGGGCAAAUAUUAACCUUGCCUUUCAAUAGCCAUAUUACUUGUAUAGUGAUGCAUCGAUAUAUGCACAAUAUUGGAUUUUUUGUUGUUGUAUGUGCCAAACAGGUUGGCAGAAUGUCAUGUUUGGUAUUUAUGAUACAUUUUUAUGUAUAUUUAUUUAAUUUAACAGAAACCUAUCUAUCACAUACAGUCAACUCUCGGCUGCCUAAGUCGAAUUUGCAUAAGAUGAAUGUCGAAGGUGUUAUGUUAGUCUUUUCUUUUUAUUUUCCAUUGUUUUGACCUUGCAUUAGUCGGAUCUGGACACUUUUAACGUAAAAAGAAUAUUUGUAUACCACUGUUUUUAGAAUUCUCACCCAAGAUUCCAGCAUUAGUACUAAUUAGUACCAGCGGUGACUGAUUUCAUAACCCACUGAUUGAGCCCAUGAAAAUUAUACAAAUUUCAUUUAUCUAUGCGCCCAAUACUUUGUGGUCUAAUAAUUAUUUUCCUGGCUGUAUUACUGUAACUAUUAUUUGCCGAAGAUAAACCGUUUUUUUUUAACAUGAACUAUGUGCUACAAUUCCCUUGCCUUUCAGUUUAUUAGGAUGCACCUUUUUUUUUUCUACAUUUGCCUUUUUUUAUUUUUUUAUACCGGUAUAUAUAUAUUUUUUAAAUAUAUUUUUUAUUUCUAGGAUAAAACAAUAUCUCGACAUCAGCCAAAUUUUCAGGCAUCUUCUUGUGUAGGGUCCAUGCUUUUUCCAUGAUCAGCUGUACAAAUUCAUUGAUGUAUAUACCAUUAAAUUCAUGUUCCAGAUCGUACACUGUAAAUA